GAUGAACGCUGGCGGCGUGCCUAAUACAUGCAAGUCGAGCGAACAGACGAUGAGCUUGCUCCUCUGACGUUAGCGGCUGACGGGUGAGUAACACGUGGAUAACCUACCUAUAAGACUGGGAUAACUUCGGGAAACCGGAGCUAAUACCGGAUAAUAUAUUGAACCGCAGGGUUCAAUAGUGAAAGACGGUUUUGCUGUCACUUAUAGAUGGAUCCGCGCCGCAUUAGCUAGUUGGUAAGGUAACGGCUUACCAAGGCAACGAUGCGUAGCCGACCUGAGAGGGUGAUCGGCCACACUGGAACUGAGACACGGUCCAGACUCCUACGGGAGGCAGCAGUAGGGAAUCUUCCGCAAUGGGCGAAAGCUUGACGGAGCAACGCCGCGUGAGUGAUGAAGGUCUUCGGAUCGUAAAACUCUGUUAUUAGGGAAGAACAAAUGUGUAAGUAACUAUGCACGUCUUGACGGUACCUAAUCAGAAAGCCACGGCUAACUACGUG
Molecule: ribosomal RNA, 497 nt
Filed under: uncultured bacterium
Lineage: Bacteria
Description: partial 16S ribosomal RNA
Rfam family: Bacterial small subunit ribosomal RNA
Source: RNAcentral